This 173-nucleotide small nuclear RNA is filed under the name Meriones unguiculatus (Mongolian gerbil). RNAcentral describes it as "U1 spliceosomal RNA (ENSMUGG00000003482.1)". It matches the Rfam family "U1 spliceosomal RNA". From Rfam's summary of the family: U1 is a small nuclear RNA (snRNA) component of the spliceosome (involved in pre-mRNA splicing). Its 5' end forms complementary base pairs with the 5' splice junction, thus defining the 5' donor site of an intron. Lineage: Eukaryota; Metazoa; Chordata; Mammalia; Rodentia; Muridae. The record is from RNAcentral.
GUACUUACCUGGUAGGGGACAUGCAGGAUUACGAACCUAGUUUGCCCAGGGCGAGGAGUAUCCAUUGCGCUACAUAUGCGCUGAUCCCAACCCUUCUCUGAGAUUUCCCCCAAAUGCAGGGAGCUUGACUAUAUAUUUGUGAUAAUGGGGGACUGUGUUUCAGCUAUCCCCUC